This 515-nucleotide ribosomal RNA is filed under the name uncultured bacterium. RNAcentral describes it as "bacterial SSU rRNA". It matches the Rfam family "Bacterial small subunit ribosomal RNA", at positions 31 to 518 of the family's 1533-position model. The record is from RNAcentral.
GAACGCUGGCGGCGUGCCUAAUACAUGCAAGUCGAACGGUCUUUUCUAUGGAAGCUUGCUUCCACUGAGAAGAUAGUGGCGAACGGGUGAGUAACACGUGGGUAACCUGCCCAUAAGAGGGGGAUAACAUCCGGAAACGGGUGCUAAUACCGCAUAGUUUUCUUGAUCGCAUGAUCGGGAAAGGAAAGACGGCCUUUGUGCUGUCGCUUAUGGAUGGACCCGCGGCGUAUUAGUUAGUUGGUGAGGUAACGGCUCACCAAGACGAUGAUACGUAGCCGACCUGAGAGGGUGAUCGGCCACAUUGGGACUGAGACACGGCCCAAACUCCUACGGGAGGCAGCAGUAGGGAAUCUUCCGCAAUGGACGAAAGUCUGACGGAGCAACGCCGCGUGAGUGAAAGAAGGUUUUCGGAUCGUAAAACUCUGUUGUCAGAGAAGAACAAGUUGGAGAGUAACUGCUCCAGCCUUGACGGUAUCUGACCAGAAAGCCACGGCUAACUACGUGCCAGCCGCCGC